AAGUCGUAACAAGGUUUCCGUAGGUGAACCUGCGGAAGGAUCAUUAACACGUAUCCACGUUAAACCCCCUGUGAACCUUCAUGCGAGUUACAUCCACGUCAUAAACCGGUGGUAAAUGUACGGUAGUGCGAGGCAAUUGACCUGGCAUUCCUCUGCUUGUUAGUGUCUGAAAGUGUCACUAGCUAUGUACGGAUGGCGCAGGAGGCCGACACGGCCGGCGACCACGUUACAACCUUUGCAUGAAGACGGGCCUGCGCUGAGGUGCGGCCACCCCUAAUGCUUGAACAACUGUUAACAAUGGAUAUCUUGGUUCUC
This 315-nucleotide unclassified non-coding RNA is filed under the name fungal sp. RNAcentral's name for it is "partial internal transcribed spacer region". The stretch from base 1 to 46 matches the Rfam family "Eukaryotic small subunit ribosomal RNA", at positions 1786 to 1831 of the family's 1831-position model. Lineage: Eukaryota; Fungi. The record is from RNAcentral.